This 435-nucleotide long non-coding RNA is filed under the name Cyanistes caeruleus (blue tit). RNAcentral describes it as "lncRNA (ENSCCEG00000006306.1)". Lineage: Eukaryota; Metazoa; Chordata; Aves; Passeriformes; Paridae. The record is from RNAcentral.
AUGGCAGGUCAGAGAUCCAUGGAAUUACCAAGGAGCCAUCUCAAAGCUGGGAAGGAGCCUUUAGAGAAGAGUUUGAAUCCCACCAUGGAUUUGGUUAGAAAGGACCUUAAAGAUCACCUGGUUCCAAUCCCCGAGACCCUCAGCUUCCAGCUCCUGCUCUCCAGAGGGCACAGCCGGCUCCUCCAGCAGGGACCCCCAGCCAGGGGCCAGCCCUGGGGAGCCACCCCGAGCCCCCGGACAAGCCACAGAACCCCCCCAGCUCCCACACCUUGCCCAGCCCAGCCUUACCUGCCUCCUCCGCGGCCGGCACUGCUCUCAAAAACUGGUUUGAAAACAUCAAUUAAGCUUCCUGUUGUCUGUUUCCAAGAUCAGCGGGGGAGGAAACUGAGGCACAGCUUUGGGGUUGGAAGGAAUCCUCAUCCUGAGGCUGACUGA